RNAcentral lists this long non-coding RNA (2245 nucleotides) under Sus scrofa (pig). RNAcentral describes it as "lncRNA (ENSSSCG00045029654.1)". The record is from RNAcentral. Lineage: Eukaryota; Metazoa; Chordata; Mammalia; Artiodactyla; Suidae.
UUUUUUUUUUUUUUUUUUUUUUUUUUUUUGCUUUUUAGGGCCGCACCCCCAGCAUAUGGAAGUUCCCAGGCUAAGGGUCAAAUUGGAGCUACAGCUCCUAGCCUACACCACAGCCACAGCCACAGGGGAUCCAAGCCGUGUCUGCAACCUACACCACAGCUCAUGGCAACAAUGGAUCCUUAACCCACUGUGCAAGGGCAGGGAAUGAACCUGAAUCCUCAUGGAUACUAGUCUGAUUCAUUUCUGCUGCACCAUGAUGGGAACUCCCUUUUUUCCUUCCUUCCUUCUAUCUCUUGACCUUCCCAAAGCUUUGAGUCUUCAGCUUUUCUAUGGACUUUGGAGUGUCGUAUCCUUUCAAAUAACUGUUGUAGUUAUUAACUAAUAAUCCUAUUUGCAAAUAAAACUUCUUCUAUGUUGCUUUUUUUAUUUAAUGAUUUUUAUUGUUUUCCAUUAUAGCUGGUUUACACUGUGCUGUCAAUUUUCUACUGUACAGCAAGGUGACCCAGUUACACGUACAUAUAUACAUUCCUUUUUCUCACAUUAUAAUGCUCCAUCGUAAGUGAUUAGGUAUAGCUCCCAGUGCUAUACAGCAGGAUCUCAUUGCUUAUCCACUCCAAAGGCAACAGUUUGUAUCUAUUAACCCCAAAUCCUCAGUCCAUCCCACUCCCUCCCCCUCCUCCUUACCAACCACAAGUCUGUUCUCCAUGUCCAUGAUUUUCUUUUGUCUAAAGGUUCAUUUGUGCCAUAUAUUAGAUUCUAGAUAUGUGAUAUCAUAUGGCAUUUGUCUUUCUCUUUCUGACUUGCUUAACUUAGUAUGAGAGUCUCUAGUUCCAUCCAUGUUUCUGCAAAUGGCAUUAUUUUUUUAUGGCUGAGUAGUAUUCCAUUGUGUAUACAUACCACAUCUUCUUAAUCCAUUCAUCUGUUGAAGGGCAUUUAGGUUGUUUGCAUGUAUUGGCUAUUGUGAAUAGUGCUGCAAGGAACAUGCAGGUGUGUGUGUCUUCUUCAAGGAAAGUUUUGUCCAGAUAUAUGCCCAAGAGUAGGAUUGCUGGGUCAUAUGGUAGUUUUAUACUUAGUUUUCUGAGGUACCACAAUACUGUUUUCCAUAGUGGUUGUAACAAUUUAUAUUCCCACCAAUGGUGCAGGAGGGUUCCCUUUUUUCAACACCCCCUCCAGCAUUUGUUCUUUAUGGACUUAUUAAUGAUGGCCAUUAUGACUGGUGCGAGGUGGUAUCUCAUGGUAGUUUUGAAUGGAUUUCUCUAGUAAUCAGUGAUGUUGAGCAUUGUUUCAAGUGCUUGUUGGACAUCUGUAUAUCUUCUUUGGAGAAAUGUCUAUUCAGGUCUUUUGCCCAUUUUUCCAUUGGGUUGUUGGCUUUUUUGCUGUUGAGUUGUAUAAGUUGUUUGCAUAUUUUAGAGAUUAAGCUCUUGUCAGUUGCAUCACUUGAAACUAUUUUCUCCCAUUCUGUAAGUUGUCUUUUUUUUUUUUUUUUGUCUUUUUGCCAUUUCUUGGGCCGCUCCCACAGCAUAUGGAGGUUCCCAGGCUAGGGGUCUAAUUGGAGCUGUAGCUGCCAGCCUAUGCCAGAGCCACAGCAACCAAUAUGGGAUCCAAACAGUGUCUGCAACCUACACCACAGCUCACGGCGACACACUCAGUCAUCAAGGUCAGGGAUCGAACACACAUCCUCAUGGAUACUAGCCAAGUUCACUACAGCUGAGCCACAACAGCAACUCCCCAUGAAUAACUUUAUAUUAAAUGUCCACUUAUAAGCCACUGUAGUGGUCACCAUGAGUGGAACAAGACCAAAAGAGCCUUGAUGCUAUCACCAUAUCCAAAGAUCUUGAUAAAAGACUUUGUCACACAGUGUAAGUUUAUAAAAGGCAAGUAUUCAAUAGGAUUUUGUGUGUGUGUGUGUGUGUGUUUUAAGGGACCAACAGAUUUGGUUCUCAUCAGGAAGUUCCCAGUUUGUUUGUAACCAAAGGAGAAGUGAAAAUUCAGAGAGGUAAAUUUUAUUGUUUCCUUGAAAGUUACAAAAUUACUUUGACAGAGAAAUGUAAUUAGCAUUUCAAAUGCACUAUUCAGUUAAUAUAAAAUUAUUAUUAUUUUUACUGCUGCACCUGCAGCAUAUGGAAGUUCCUGGGCCUGGGAUUGAAUCUGAGCCCCAGCUGUGGCAACACUGGAUCCUUAACCCACUGCACUGGGCCAGGGAUCCACAGCAACCUGUGCCAGUACAGUUGGAUUCUUAGUCCAC